AAAGAUAUAUAGCAUAUAUCUUCUGAAUAUACUUUAUUAACCCAAUUCCGAGUACCUUACCUCGUUGCUUCCGCGAGGCUGUCCUCACGGCCCUCUGAAGAUUUAUCUUUGGGGAGUUCCUCGCGGAAGGUAUACAAAUAAACUCUUGCAUUACCAUGUCACUCUGUCUGAAUCUGUUUUAAAACAAAUAUUAA
RNAcentral lists this unclassified non-coding RNA (194 nucleotides) under soil metagenome. Its description in RNAcentral is "partial internal transcribed spacer 1". The record is from RNAcentral.